UCCCCACCACCACCACCACCGCUGGAAAAAUUCCCAGGGGAAACACUGAGAUCUCUGAUUUUUUUAUCAGAUUUGGUGCUAAAUACUGAUAAGGUCAUUGUAGUGGGGGAUUUUAAUAUUCAUGUGAACAUUGAAAAUGAUAGCCUCAAUGUAGCCUUUACUAAUAUCUUAGACUCAAUUGGUUUUACUCAAAGAAUACAUAGCUCCACCCACUCCUGCUAUCAUACAUUGGACCUUGUGCUGACUUAUGGCAUUGAGUGUGAGGCAAUAAUCUUUCCACAUAAUCCAGUCCUCUCGGACCACUUUCUGAUAACCUUUGAGUUUUUUAUAACUGAGUUCUCGAGACAUGAAAGUAAAUUUCACUAUAGUCGGUCUCUAUCUGACAACGCAGUUGCAUCUUUUAAAUCAACUGUUCCAUCUUUACUGUCCUCAGCAUCUCAGAGGCAUGUAGCAGAGGGCAAUAUUUUCAGUUCUAGCCCCUCACAAAUUGAUGCCUUAGUUCAUCAUGUUAAUUCCUCUUUACGUGUGGCAUUAGAUGAUGUUGCCCCUUUAAAAAAGAAGGUAAUUAGGGACAGGAAGUUGGCUCCCUGGUUUAAUUCUCAUUUACGAGCCUUAAAACAAAACUCUAGGAAAUUGGAGAGAACAUGGCGCUCUACGCACCAUGAGGAGGCCUACCUAUCCUGGAAAAAUAGUCUUGUGCUUUAUAAAAAUAAGCUUCGACAAACUAGAACUGCUUAUUUCUCAGCAUUAAUUGAGGAGAAUAAGCAUAAUCCUAAAUUUCUUUUCAGUACAGUUGCUAAACUUACACAGAAUCAUAGCUCUGAGCCAUCUAUUCCCUUAGCCCUCAGCAGCAAUGACUUCAUGGGAUUUUUUACAAGUAAAAUUAAUUCUAUUAGAAACAAAAUCUUUAGCAUCCUCCCUAAUGCGAUUUCUUCUUCCUCAGUAAGUGAGGCAGCAUCAGAGGUGACUGUAGAACCUCAUCUGUGCUUGAACCGUUUUGAUCCAGUUGAGCUUUCAGAGUUAUCAAAAAUAUUAGCUUCAUCUAAACCUUCAACUUGCAUUUUGGAUCCAAUCCCAACCAAAUUAUUUAAAGAUGCAUUUCCUUUGGUUACUGCCCCCAUUCUAGAUAUAAUCAAUCUAUCCUUAGUAAAU
This 1152-nucleotide long non-coding RNA is filed under the name Nothobranchius furzeri (turquoise killifish). Its description in RNAcentral is "lncRNA (ENSNFUG00015010117.1)". Lineage: Eukaryota; Metazoa; Chordata; Actinopteri; Cyprinodontiformes; Nothobranchiidae. The record is from RNAcentral.